Molecule: small RNA, 537 nt
Filed under: Pan troglodytes (chimpanzee)
Lineage: Eukaryota; Metazoa; Chordata; Mammalia; Primates; Hominidae
Description: processed transcript
Source: RNAcentral
CAAUCAGCCACAACACAGAGAAAAGUGGGUUUUGAGGCAGCCCCUGCAGCAGGCAGGUGGGAAGGAAGAAGAGAGCGAGCUGACAGCUCAGUUCUCACGCCUUCUGUAUUCCUCAGAAUUCAGAUUUUGGCUGUUUUUGGUGAUCAUCGUGAUUCUAAGCACACUGUUCCUUGGCACCCUUGCCUGCUUCUGUGUGCGGAGGAGAAAGAGGAAGGGGAAGCAGUCAGGUGAGUGGAAGGUCCUUGGGGUGGUGCUCCUGCCUGAGGCCUUGGAUCCUGUGACUUUGUCCUGCGUCCAGUGGGAUGUGUCUGGGAGCACAGCAUCUCCUUUUCCUCAACGAGCUUUGAGACCAGUCCCAAGGAAUUUUUGACAAUUUACGAAGAUGUCAAGGAUCUGAAAACCAGGAGAAAUCAAUCUUCUGCUCCCACAUCACAAGAACCUGCAUAUACAUUAUAUUCAUUAAUUCAGCCUUCCAGGAAGUCUGGAUCCAGGAAGAGGAACCACAGCCCUUCCUUCAAUAGCACUAUCUAUGAAGUG